Molecule: ribosomal RNA, 456 nt
Filed under: uncultured bacterium
Lineage: Bacteria
Description: bacterial SSU rRNA
Rfam family: Bacterial small subunit ribosomal RNA
Source: RNAcentral
GGCAGCAGUAGGGAAUAUUAGUAAUGGGCGAAAGCCUGAACUAGCAACGCCGCGUGUGCGAAGAAGGCCUUCGGGUUGUAAAGCACUUUUUGAGAGGAUGAGGAAGGACGGUACUCUCAGAAUAAGUCUCGGCUAACUACGUGCCAGCAGCCGCGGUAACACGUAGGAGGCGAACGUUAUCCGGAUUUACUGGGCGUAAAGCGCGUGUAGGUGGUUUGGUAAGUAGGGCGUGAAAGCUCCUGGCUCAACUGGGAGAGGCCGUUCUAAACUGCCGAACUAGAGGAUGGUAGAGGGAGGUGGAAUUCCGGGUGUAGCGGUGGAAUGCGCAGAUAUCCGGAGGAACACCAGUGGCGAAAGCGGCCUCCUGGACCAUUCCUGACACUCAGACGCGAAAGCUAGGGUAGCAAACGGGAUUAGAGACCCCGGUAGUCCUAGCCCUAAACGAUGUAGACUAGG